AUUGAACGCUGGCGGCAUGCUUUACACAUGCAAGUCGAACGGCAGCGCGGGCUUCGGCCUGGCGGCGAGUGGCGAACGGGUGAGUAAUACAUCGGAACGUGCCCAGUAGUGGGGGAUAGCUCGGCGAAAGCCGGAUUAAUACCGCAUACGACCUGAGGGUGAAAGCGGGGGAUCUUCGGACCUCGCGCUAUUGGAGCGGCCGAUGGCAGAUUAGCUAGUUGGUGGGUUAAAGGCCUACCAAGGCGACGAUCUGUAGCUGGUCUGAGAGGACGACCAGCCACACUGGGACUGAGACACGGCCCAGACUCCUACGGGAGGCAGCAGUGGGGAAUUUUGGACAAAGGGCGAAAGCCUGAUCCAGCAAUGCCGCGUGUGUGAUGAAGGCCUUCGGGUUGUAAAGCACUUUUGGCGGGAACGAAAAGGACUGUGCCAAUACCACGGUUCGAUGACGGUACCCGCAGAAUAAGCACCGGCUAACUACGUG
Molecule: ribosomal RNA, 484 nt
Filed under: uncultured bacterium
Lineage: Bacteria
Description: partial 16S ribosomal RNA
Rfam family: Bacterial small subunit ribosomal RNA
Source: RNAcentral